This is a long non-coding RNA of Neodiprion fabricii, 1999 nucleotides long. RefSeq lists it as uncharacterized. The transcript has 2 exons. NCBI's taxonomy places the organism in Eukaryota, Metazoa, Arthropoda, Insecta, Hymenoptera, Diprionidae. The record is from RefSeq and is a predicted model, not a curated record.
CGAAAAGUCCCAGAAGUUAAAAACCCUGGCGCUCAUUCGACGGUCGAAGCCAGUACCGGCCAACUUGGUUUGAAUUCAAUAUAUCGAACUACGAUAGUUAAAAAUAAAAAUUAUUUAAAAAAAAUACUCUCCUGAAUGUCCAUACACACAAAGGACGUAGAAUUGCUAACAAGUUAUUUCGACAAUCCUGUUACAUCAGGUUAUGGACCCAGGAACAUGAAGUUAAUACGAACAAAAAAAAAACUGUCGUGCGCGAAGGACAGCGUAGAUUUUUUUGCAACAGUCAUGUGAAGCAAAAAAAAAUUAAAAAUACGAGGCCUGGAAUUAAUCUGCGAUUCGCUGCGAACAAACGUCAUUUCCGUAAAAAAUGUCGAACUCAAACCAAACACUACUCGUCGAGAAACUGAAAGGAAGACAUAAUUUCCCAACAUGAAAAUUCGCGACGGAACCAUGGCUAGAACACGAUGACCUGUGGAGGCGCGUGAUCGGUACAGAAGAGUACAUAGCUGACAAGAAAAAGGCUACAAAGGCUGAGUCAAAGUUUAUCUUAUCUGUAGACCCCAUAAAUUACGUGGAUAUUCAGGAGUGUGCCACUGCAAAAGAGGUAUGGGAAAAAAUUCAAACUAUUUUCGUAGACUCGGGAUUGACGCGCAAGCUCAGCCUCUUAAGGACCUUGGUAACUACUCAAUUACGAAAAUGUAAAGACGUUGAAGAAUACGUAAACUUUGUAAUUACAAUAGCUCACAAACUCAACAGCAUAGGAUUUAAGGUACCGGACGAGUGGGUAGGAACGCUACUCCUGGCAGGACUACCAGAAGGAUAUCGCCCAAUGAUUAUGGGUCUGAAAAACUCUGGAACAGCAAUAACGGCAGAUUCAGUGAAGAAGAAACUGCUGCAAAACAUCAAGAAUACGAAGAUGGCUAUAAGUGUGAAUAGUUGAUACAGCAUUUUACACAAAUGGAACAAAACCAUAGUUGAAAAACAUGCAAUGUUUUCGGUAUAAGCGCACAGGACACUUUGCCAGCAGAUGCAAAGCAAAGCUAAUCGAAAAACUAAGUACAGACAAACAAAGCGAAAAAUAGAAAGCGCCUACUCAAGGUAACUCGUAUUGGACUUUUCUAUCGUCGAUGGCAAUCAAUGGUAGAAACUGGUUUGGCGACCCAUGUACGUCGCACCAUAUUUCGGCAGAGGAUGAGGCAUUAAAAAACACGAGGAAAUGCUCAGUAGAAAAAGUUCCUACGGCGAACAAGCAAGGUAUGUCAGCAGGGUCAACCUGAGAUAUCAGCCUAUAGGUUCCCGCAAGUACAGGUAAACAGGAGGUUACAGCAUACAAUGUGCUCCACGUACCGGAAACCUCAGUUGACCUGCUUUCGAUAAGUCAAAUGGUUAAAAGGAGUUUAUCUGUACAUUUUUCUCCAAAGAUCACAGAGAUCUGCGAUGAGGAGGGAUCAACCUAGGCACAAUGUCAUUAGAAGAACUUUGGCAUAGGAGACUAGGUCAUCUUCAUUACUAAGGCAUAUCACAACUCAGUAAUGAUUGAGCAACAGGAAUAAAGCAAAGUAACAUUGGAGAAAAAUUUUGUAUUCCAUACAUCAAGGGUAUGAUUGCAAAAAAACCGCUUCCAAAAGAAGGGAAAUGUACCAAAGAAAUACUUGAGAUAAUACAUACAGAUUUAUGUGGACCGAUAGAUAGCGCAUCUAUUGGAGGAUCGAGAUAUUUCAUAACCUUAAUAGAUGGCUUCAACCGUAAAGCAUUUAUCGAUUGCUUUAAAAAAAAAGGGUCAAGCCAAAGACGUUAUCGUGGAGUUCAAAACGUUUGUGGAAAAACAGACCGGGAGAGAAAUAAAAUCCAUCUGAUCCGACAACGGAGGUGAAUUCAUGAAUCGAGAGCUGAAAGGGAUCCUGAGGAAAUCUGGAAUCAGACAUCAGCGAACAGUCCCACAUUCGUCAGAACAGAAUGGUUUAUUUGAAAAAAUGAACCGCACUAUCAUUGAGAGAGA